UACGUAGGGCGCAAGCGUUGUCCGGAAUUAUUGGGCGUAAAGAGCUCGUAGGUGGCUUGUCACGUCGGGUGUGAAAGCUUGGGGCUUAACUCCAGGUCUGCAUUCGAUACGGGCUGGCUAGAGGUAGGUAGGGGAGAACGGAAUUCCUGGUGUAGCGGUGAAAUGCGCAGAUAUCAGGAGGAACACCGGUGGCGAAGGCGGUUCUCUGGGCCGAUACUGACGCUGAGGAGCGAAAGCGUGGGGAGCGAACAGG
Molecule: ribosomal RNA, 253 nt
Filed under: uncultured bacterium
Lineage: Bacteria
Description: partial 16S ribosomal RNA
Rfam family: Bacterial small subunit ribosomal RNA
Source: RNAcentral